Molecule: long non-coding RNA, 223 nt
Filed under: Homo sapiens (human)
Lineage: Eukaryota; Metazoa; Chordata; Mammalia; Primates; Hominidae
Description: HSALNT0164281
Source: RNAcentral
CUUCCGUUCCCUGGAGGGACCAUUGCUGCUUCUGCCACACUUCCCAGAAUCCUCCUAGAGAUGCACUCUGGGAAUUGUAGUUCAGUUCCCAGGCAUGCUGCUGUGUUCUCCAGCUGCAAGUUAACCAUGAUUGUCAAAAGCAUGAACAUCUAAGAUCUUAUUACCAAGAGAACUACUGUAUCCUUGGAGAAAGUAGAGGAAGCGCAUUCCAUUUGACUGGAAG